AUAAGACCCUAUGCGUGUGGCAGACAUAUUCGUGUGAGCGUGGCGAGGCUUCCACCGUUUCGAAUGUCAUCUCAUUGCUCUUCAGCGGCUUGUCCCUCCUGGAGAAGCUGCCUGAGUCCGGCAAGCACAGUGUGAGCUCCGUAGCUAUCGAUCACAGAAACGUAUGUUGCAUGAUGUAAUGAAUUCAGAGCCAAGUCUGUACUGCAGUCUGUGUUGCUCGAUAUGUGUUCUCUAAGCACAGCGCAUUUUGUAUCUUCAAGGAAAACACAAUCAGAGCUCUUCAGGAAGUGCCCUCUGGAUCUGGCUAUGCAGAGGUCUUCAGGGAUCCCAGCGAACACCGUCUCUGUGAAGUGGCAGGGGGCAGCCAGCUGAGGA
Long non-coding RNA from Lutra lutra (Eurasian river otter), 375 nucleotides. RefSeq lists it as uncharacterized. The record is from RefSeq and is a predicted model, not a curated record. NCBI's taxonomy places the organism in Eukaryota, Metazoa, Chordata, Mammalia, Carnivora, Mustelidae. The transcript has 3 exons.